This 161-nucleotide unclassified non-coding RNA is filed under the name soil metagenome. Its description in RNAcentral is "partial internal transcribed spacer 1". The record is from RNAcentral.
CACAAAUUAAAAUAUGAAGGCUUCGGCUGGAUUAUUUUUAUCACCCUUGUCUUUUGCGCACUUGUUGUUUCCUGGGCGGGUUCGCCCGCCACCAGGACCACACCAUAAACCUCUUUUAUGCAGUUGCAAUCAGCGUCAGUAUAACAAAUGUAAAUCAUUUA